UGGGGAAUUUUGGACAAUGGGCGCAAGCCUGAUCCAGCAAUGCCGCGUGCAGGAUGAAGGUCUUCGGGUUGUAAACUGCUUUUGUACGGAGCGAAAAGGUCUGCCCUAAUACGGUGGGCUCAUGACGGUACCGUAAGAAUAAGCACCGGCUAACUACGUGCCAGCAGCCGCGGUAAUACGUAGGGUGCGAGCGUUAAUCGGAAUUACUGGGCGUAAAGCGUGCGCAGGCGGUUAUAUAAGACAGGUGUGAAAUCCCCGGGCUCAACCUGGGACCUGCAUUUGUGACUGUAUAGCUAGAGUACGGUAGAGGGGGAUGGAAUUCCGCGUGUAGCAGUGAAAUGCGUAGAUAUGCGGAGGAACACCGAUGGCGAAGGCAAUCCCCUGGACCUGUACUGACGCUCAUGCACGAAAGCGUGGGGAGCAAACA
This 427-nucleotide ribosomal RNA is filed under the name uncultured bacterium. RNAcentral describes it as "bacterial SSU rRNA". It matches the Rfam family "Bacterial small subunit ribosomal RNA", at positions 355 to 774 of the family's 1533-position model. The record is from RNAcentral.